GGUUGUGGCUCAGAGGUAGAGCGCUUGCCUAGCAUGCAUGAGGCACUGGGUUCAAUUCUCAGCACCA
Molecule: transfer RNA, 67 nt
Filed under: Marmota monax (woodchuck)
Lineage: Eukaryota; Metazoa; Chordata; Mammalia; Rodentia; Sciuridae
Description: tRNA.Ala
Rfam family: tRNA
About the family: Transfer RNA (tRNA) molecules are approximately 80 nucleotides in length. Their secondary structure includes four short double-helical elements and three loops (D, anti-codon, and T loops). Further hydrogen bonds mediate the characteristic L-shaped molecular structure. tRNAs have two regions of fundamental functional importance: the anti-codon, which is responsible for specific mRNA codon recognition, and the 3' end, to which the tRNAs corresponding amino acid is attached (by aminoacyl-tRNA synthetases). tRNAs cope with the degeneracy of the genetic code in two manners: having more than one tRNA (with a specific anti-codon) for a particular amino acid; and 'wobble' base-pairing, i.e. permitting non-standard base-pairing at the 3rd anti-codon position.
Source: RNAcentral